This 484-nucleotide ribosomal RNA is filed under the name uncultured bacterium. Its description in RNAcentral is "partial 16S ribosomal RNA". It matches the Rfam family "Bacterial small subunit ribosomal RNA", at positions 28 to 507 of the family's 1533-position model. The record is from RNAcentral.
AUUGAACGCUGGCGGCAUGCUUUACACAUGCAAGUCGAACGGCAGCGCGGGCUUCGGCCUGGCGGCGAGUGGCGAACGGGUGAGUAAUGCAUCGGAACGUGCCCAGUAGUGGGGGAUAGCCCGGCGAAAGCCGGAUUAAUACCGCAUACGACCUGAGGGUGAAAGCGGGGGACCGAAAGGCCUCGCGCUAUUGGAGCGGCCGAUGUCGGAUUAGCUAGUUGGUGGGGUAAUGGCUUACCAAGGCGACGAUCCGUAGCUGGUCUGAGAGGACGACCAGCCACACUGGGACUGAGACACGGCCCAGACUCCUACGGGAGGCAGCAGUGGGGAAUUUUGGACAAUGGGGGCAACCCUGAUCCAGCCAUGCCGCGUGCGGGAAGAAGGCCUUCGGGUUGUAAACCGCUUUUGUUCGGGAAGAAAUCCUCUGGGCUAAUACCCCGGGGGGAUGACGGUACCGGAAGAAUAAGCACCGGCUAACUACGUG